GACGAACGCUGGCGGCGUGCUUAACACAUGCAAGUCGAACGGAAAGGCCCUGCUUUUGUGGGGUGCUCGAGUGGCGAACGGGUGAGUAACACGUGAGUAACCUGCCCUUGACUUUGGGAUAACUUCAGGAAACUGGGGCUAAUACCGGAUAGGAGCGCCUGCUGCAUGGUGGGGGUUGGAAAGUUUCGGCGGUUGGGGAUGGACUCGCGGCUUAUCAGCUUGUUGGUGGGGUAGUGGCUUACCAAGGCUUUGACGGGUAGCCGGCCUGAGAGGGUGACCGGCCACAUUGGGACUGAGAUACGGCCCAGACUCCUACGGGAGGCAGCAGUGGGGAAUAUUGCACAAUGGGCGGAAGCCUGAUGAAGAAACGCCGCGUGCGGGAUGACGGCCUUCGGGUUGUAAACCGCUUUCGCCUGUGACGAAGCGUGAGUGACGGUAAUGGGUAAAGAAGCACCGGCUAACUACGUG
This 468-nucleotide ribosomal RNA is filed under the name uncultured bacterium. RNAcentral's name for it is "partial 16S ribosomal RNA". It matches the Rfam family "Bacterial small subunit ribosomal RNA", at positions 28 to 507 of the family's 1533-position model. The record is from RNAcentral.